CGGCCUCAUACACUUCAAGGUGUUCCAAGGGCGUCCGCCCGAGGGAUGAAACGGGAAGUCGGUGCGCAUCCAUUCAGCAUGCAAGUCCGACGCUGCCCCCGCAACGGUAAGUGAGUAAGGCCGGAUAUCCAUGCCACUGCGUUUUUGACGUGGGAAGGCCAUCCCGCCAAGCAUGACUCACAAGCCCGGAGACCGGCCUUGAGUGAAUGCAGUGU
RNAcentral lists this non-coding RNA (215 nucleotides) under Tenderia (SeqCode). The record is from RNAcentral. Lineage: Bacteria; Pseudomonadati; Pseudomonadota; Gammaproteobacteria; Tenderiales (SeqCode); Tenderiaceae (SeqCode).